Molecule: ribosomal RNA, 162 nt
Filed under: Fagus grandifolia subsp. mexicana
Lineage: Eukaryota; Viridiplantae; Streptophyta; Magnoliopsida; Fagales; Fagaceae
Description: 5.8S ribosomal RNA
Rfam family: 5.8S ribosomal RNA
About the family: 5.8S ribosomal RNA (5.8S rRNA) is a component of the large subunit of the eukaryotic ribosome. It is transcribed by RNA polymerase I as part of the 45S precursor that also contains 18S and 28S rRNA.
Source: RNAcentral
CAAAACGACUCUCGGCAACGGAUAUCUCGGCUCUCGCAUCGAUGAAGAACGUAGCGAAAUGCGAUACUUGGUGUGAAUUGCAGAAUCCCGUGAAUCAUCGAGUCUUUGAACGCAAGUUGCGCCCGACGCCAUUCGGCCGAGGGCACGUCUGCCUGGGUGUCA